RNAcentral lists this ribosomal RNA (503 nucleotides) under uncultured bacterium. RNAcentral's name for it is "partial 16S ribosomal RNA". It matches the Rfam family "Bacterial small subunit ribosomal RNA", at positions 30 to 523 of the family's 1533-position model. The record is from RNAcentral.
AUUGAACGCUGGCGGCAGGCUUAACACAUGCAAGUCGAGCGGGGUGAUGGUGCUUGCACUAUCACUUAGCGGCGGACGGGUGAGUAAUGCUUAGGAAUCUGCCUAUUAGUGGGGGACAACAUCUCGAAAGGGAUGCUAAUACCGCAUACGUCCUACGGGAGAAAGCAGGGGAUCACUUGUGACCUUGCGCUAAUAGAUGAGCCUAAGUCGGAUUAGCUAGUUGGUGGGGUAAAGGCCUACCAAGGCGACGAUCUGUAGCGGGUCUGAGAGGAUGAUCCGCCACACUGGGACUGAGACACGGCCCAGACUCCUACGGGAGGCAGCAGUGGGGAAUAUUGGACAAUGGGGGGAACCCUGAUCCAGCCAUGCCGCGUGUGUGAAGAAGGCCUUAUGGUUGUAAAGCACUUUAAGCGAGGAGGAGGCUACUUUAGUUAAUACCUAGAGAUAGUGGACGUUACUCGCAGAAUAAGCACCGGCUAACUCUGUGCCAGCCGCCGCAGUAA